Molecule: long non-coding RNA, 3166 nt
Filed under: Sus scrofa (pig)
Lineage: Eukaryota; Metazoa; Chordata; Mammalia; Artiodactyla; Suidae
Description: lncRNA (ENSSSCG00000059470.1)
Source: RNAcentral
UGGGGGACCCCACAGCUCACGUCCCCUCUCUUCCUCCCUUCCCCCCAACUGGUGACUCACCUCUGCAGCCUUUCAAUGCGUCAGCGAUGGGGGGGACAUGCAGAGAGGAGCACUUUAUGAGAAAGGCAGGGGUCUUCACUUUGAAUUGAAAGAAGGUGCUAAAGGACCCCUGGGAAUGGCCCCAUGAAGACACAUCAUUGCCCUGUCCCCUGCCCAUCCCAGUUUCAGAGGGUGGGGAGCCCUGGGAAGGGGACUAGGAGAGGGUUGGGGGCCACUGGUGGGUCUGGGAAUGAUGAGUGAUAGGAAAAGGGUGCUCACCCUGAAUUUUAGUGCCGGGGUCCCCUUCCCUCAUACCCCACCCACUCUUGGGUGGGGGAGGGGAGACCCAGCCAGCGGGGGAGGGCAAAGCUGCAGAGAUGAGUCACCAAGCAAGGAAGAGAGAGGGAAAGAGACAGAGAUGAGGAGAGACACAAAGAGAGACAGCCACUGGAGAGACAGAGAAAAGAACACAACACACACACACACACACACACACACACACUCGCACACACCAUGUAGGUGGUAUCCACAAACUAACAAGAGAAAGGAAAUCGUGUACUUCCAUAAUCCUGAAGCAGCCUCCUCUAAAAUCCACCUGUCUCACACACACACACACACACACACACACACACACAUACAUCACUAUCAUUCAGUUACAUUGAUAUUCUGAGACACACCCACUUACACAAACACAAUGUCACACCUAGCCUAGCAGAGUCACCCAGACACAUGUUGAAGAUAUGACCAGGGUAAUGGAGAAUCACAUUGAAAGCCCUUGAUUCCUGUUACACGGGAUGGUAGGAAGGGGUAAAAGCCAUGAAAGAAUGUAACUUCAAAAAUCGAAGACUCACACACCUUGCACACGCGAUGAUACACACAGUCGCUUGCCUCCCCAUCCACACGUACAUAGUAACGUAUCAAGCAUCCUCCUCAUCAAGAAGCCACUUGGAGUACCUGAUUCUGGGGUACCCCAGACAUGUAUUCCAGAAUAUAUACCACCCAGACACCCCCUAACUCGUACACACAUGUGCAGAAAUGCAGACACACAAAGACGCCCAUGGACACACUCACACGGACGAAAACCACCUUGCGCUGCCUCGCCCGCGUCCGCACGCGUCCUGGCGCCCCCGCGUGGUACUUUUCGAGAUCGCAGUCUCCGCCGCUCCGGAGCUCAGCUCCCGCGGGGCGGCGCCCAGGCUCCCUCCACCUCUUCACCCUCCGCGCGGUGCCCACCCAGGAAUGGGGAAGGCGAGAGCGCUGGCCGCCAGAGAGCCGAGGGCGGGGAGUUAGACGCCUGAAUCGUGGGAAUGAGGGAGGCUGGUCCUGGAUGCCAAAGGGAACUUGCGAGAAGAGCAAGAAUUUGGAGAGCAGCGGACCCCCGGGUCCAGGGGAAAACGAGGCCCCGGGCUAUUCCAGGAGCCGCGCUGCUGCCCGCCUCUGUUCUGAGCGAGCACUUCUUUCCGCCGCUGGCCUGGGGUGGGGGUGGGGGCGCGCAACGGCCAGCAGCCCUCCCCAGCUCCCCUCCAGGAAGUCAUUAGCCCCACUGCCACGGGGCUUAGAGAUCCUCUCUAAUACAGGCUGCAGGGGAAGCGGGGAGGACAACGCAUCUCAUCCCUCCCCACCGAGAACUGAGACCGACACAGACGGUGGGCUAAGGGCCCGUUUUAUUGCAGCACGGCGCUGGUUGAAGACAGGCAGGAGGGCAGCAUGGCCAGGCGCAGGAGGCAGCCAAGCCAGACAGGGCAGCAGAGCCGGAACUGGGGAAAGUGGGGGAGCAGCAGCUGUCCCCUUUGUCCACCUCCUAGCACCCUCCUCUGCCCGCGUCUUUGAUUCCAUCCCCAGCGAACCCUGUGCUCACUGUCACCGAACCCCUGUCACCUAUCCAUUGUCCAGCAAGAAGUCCCUGCUACCACUGUCUCACACGGUGAGGUUCCGGGGCAGGCUCUGGGCUCCGGACACCUGGGUUCUAGUCCCUGCUGGGCUCCCAGUUACUGCGAGCAACUUGGAAGUUACUUGGGUCUUUCUGAGCCUCGGCGUCCUCCCUCUGUGAGAUGUGAGGAUCCCGUGUAGGAGACAUCACUGUGCCAGUGCAGCUGCUACUACUUGCAUUUAAAUAGAAGACGUCAGAGUCCACAAAAAGCAUAAAGGAACUAGAGAGGACGGGAGGGGUGUCCGGAAAUAUCUGGAGGUGGGGGUUCCAGUUUUGCUAGAAGGCAGCCUGGUUAGAACCCGGGGACAGCCUUGCACCAGGCGGAGGGACCUGCCCUCCACCACACCAAGCUGUCCACCCAGAACCCUCUGGGUCACAGGCCGGGUUCGGGCCCGGGUUGGGAGCACAGGGGAGGGAACCUACAAAAUAGCACCAACGUGGAGUUGGAAGAGACUCCUGAGAGGAGGCAGCCUCAGAGAGGUGCAUCGCCCGAGCGUAAUCGGGGACCAAAUGAGGGUGAGGCUUUAUCAAUCUACUUCCUUUAGGGGGUCUUUCCCCUUGUUACACACAAGGUUGGGUGAUGAAGAGGUCAUGAGGAAGGGGGAGGGGAAUGGAGGGGCAGACAAACGGGCAGCAGGGAACUAAGAGAGGGUCUGGGCACAUGAGGCUGAAAGGGCGGUGAGGAGAGGAGCACAGGGCAAACCCUGAGGGCCUGAGAAAGCACUGGGUGAAGAAAAGAAAUGCGUUUUGGGCAACUGUGCUCCGGGUCGGGUGCUGGGCGUUGCACACACUCCUGCCAGCUUCCGUCCACGAGGGGGCAGAAGGGAGAAGCCAGAAAGGGCAGAGCACACUCCCAGGCUGGGGAGGGACAGAGAAAGGCUCUGAAGCCUGUGAAGGAACCCAUUCUUUGGCGGGGAAAGGGAAAGAAGGGACACGCGGCUCAGGUGGCUCCCCCAAAUCUGACGGUUCAGAUCAGUGUGCAAACAUCAGUGUUUGGGGGAGCUAAAGUCAAGAGGGCAGACAGAGAGGUAAGAGAAGAGACCCCAAUAGGCAGAAGCCGCGAGGCUGAAAGGAGCAGAGCGAAGCCAAGACAGGUCAGAUGGGCCACCACCUCAUGGUUUCCUCAUCUGUAAAGAAGCCAUAACAUCUAGUAAGGAUUGAAUAAGAGAAUUACGUAAAGUGUCCAGCAAAAAAAAU